Molecule: small nuclear RNA, 100 nt
Filed under: Dufourea novaeangliae
Lineage: Eukaryota; Metazoa; Arthropoda; Insecta; Hymenoptera; Halictidae
Source: RNAcentral
GUACUUGCUUCGGUAGUGCAUAUACUAAAAUUGGAACGAUACAGAGAAGAUUAGCAUACUGUAGUAUAAUAGGGGAAAAUGUGAUUUUCUGCGAUUCUGA